AUUGAACGCUGGCGGCAGGCCUAACACAUGCAAGUCGAGCGGAGCGGCGGACGGGUGAGUAAUGCCUAGGAAUCUGCCUGGUAGCGGGGGAUAACGUCCGGAACCGGGCGCUAAUACCGCUUACUAUCAGAUGAGCCUAGGUCGGAUUAGCUAGUUGGUGGGGUAAAGGCCUACCAAGGCGACGAUCCGUACCUGGUCUGAGAGGAUGAUCAGUAACACUGGAACUGAGACACGGUCCAGACUCCUACGGGAGGAAGCAGUGGGGAAUAUUGGACAAUGGGCGAAAGCCUGAUCCAGCCAUGCCGCGUGUGUGAAGAAGGUCUUCGGAUUGUAAGGCACUUUAAGUUGGGAGGCGUUACCAACAGAAUAAGCACCGGCUAACUUCGUGCCAGCCGCCGCGGUAAUAC
This 407-nucleotide ribosomal RNA is filed under the name uncultured bacterium. Its description in RNAcentral is "partial 16S ribosomal RNA". It matches the Rfam family "Bacterial small subunit ribosomal RNA", at positions 30 to 526 of the family's 1533-position model. The record is from RNAcentral.